This 755-nucleotide long non-coding RNA is filed under the name Setaria viridis. RNAcentral's name for it is "long non-coding RNA (SVIR_LNC000165)". Lineage: Eukaryota; Viridiplantae; Streptophyta; Magnoliopsida; Poales; Poaceae. The record is from RNAcentral.
CGUGGGUAAUAUAGAUGCAAAUUUAAGGGGUUCCUUUAAGUUUUUUAAGUAAUAGUAGUGGGCAAUUCAGUUGCAAAUUAGGGGGUUAUUUUAAAUAUUGUUUAUAAUGGCAUAAGUGGGUAAUUUUGAUGAAGAUUAGGAGUUGCUUUAGUUUAUUUUAUAUAAUGGCAUAGGUGGGUAGUUUAUAUAUAGAUUUAGGGGAUUACUUUAGGCUAUUUUCAUAAUGGCAUAGGUGGGUAAUUUUUUAGAAAAUAUAAUAGAUCCAAUGGCUAUGAUGAUUUGAAUCUAUCAAUUGAUGGUCGGAUGUUUUGCUUUUUUGUGAGAAUUUCUAGGAUUUCUCUCUUUUUCUAGAGUGUUCACCUGGGAAUCCUAGGUGGCUUUACCUGGAGGCUUCAAAAGUAGCCUCCAAUUAGUAAUAGUAAGAUUGUGUUACUGAUCGAUGAUGUACGGCAGCCAAUUUGGCCUGCUUAUUAGGAUGAUAGUUCGUUGGAGCCGUUCGAUAUGGACUACGUACUGAACGGAGUUCAUGUUCAAUUGAUCGAUGACAUGGACCUAUCCUGCUCCAGAAACUGAUAUGUCAACUAUUUAGGUCUUAACUCUGGCAUUCUAUUAUAGCUACAAAUUCAAUAUCGUAAAAAGAUCCUUGCUAAAGAAAAAAAGAAAUACUAAAAUUAGACCCACCAGCAUGAAAUAUUCCGUGCCUUGCUGUUGGUCCUGUUCUUGCAGAGUUAACUUGCAACCCUAGUGACCCCUCG